Molecule: ribosomal RNA, 497 nt
Filed under: uncultured bacterium
Lineage: Bacteria
Description: partial 16S ribosomal RNA
Rfam family: Bacterial small subunit ribosomal RNA
Source: RNAcentral
GAUGAACGCUGGCGGCGUGCCUAAUACAUGCAAGUCGAGCGAACGGACGAGAAGCUUGCUUCUCUGAUGUUAGCGGCGGGCGGGUGAGUAACACGUGGAUAACCUACCUAUAAGACUGGGAUAACUUCGGGAAACCGUAGCUAAUACCGGAUAAUAUUUUGAACCGCAUGGUUCAAAAGUGAAAGACGGUCUUGCUGUCACUUAUAGAUGGAUCCGCGCUGCAUUAGCUAGUUUGUAAGGUAACGGCUUACCAAGGCAACGAUGCAUAGCCGACCUGAGAGGGUGAUCGGCCACACUGGAACUGAGACACGGUCCAGACUCCUACGGGAGGCAGCAGUAGGGAAUCUUCCGCAAUGGGCGAAAGCCUGACGGAGCAACGCCGCGUGAGUGAUGAAGGUCUUCGGAUCGUAAAGCUCUGUUAUUAGGGAAGAACAUAUGUGUAAGUAACUGUGCACAUCUUGACGGUACCUAAUCAGAAAGCCACGGCUAACUACGUG